AGCGAACGCUGGCGGCAGGCCUAAUACAUGCAAGUCGAACGAAGCCUUCGGGCUUAGUGGCGGACGGGUGAGUAACACGUGGGAACGUACCCUUUGGUUCGGAACAACUCAGGGAAACUUGAGCUAAUACCGAAUGAGCCCCCAUCCUUGAACAAGAUGGGUGGGAAAGAUUUAUCGCCAUUGGAGCGGCCCGCGUCUGAUUAGCUAGUUGGUGGGUAAAGGCCCACAAGGCUACGAUCAGAGCUGGUCUGAGAGGAUGAUCAGCCACACUGGGACUGAGACACGGCCCAGACUCCUACGGGAGGCAGCAGUAGGGAAUCUUGCGCAAUGGGCGAAAGCCUGACGCAGCCAUGCCGCGUGAAUGAUGAAGGUCUUAGGAUUGU
This 383-nucleotide ribosomal RNA is filed under the name uncultured bacterium. Its description in RNAcentral is "bacterial SSU rRNA". It matches the Rfam family "Bacterial small subunit ribosomal RNA", at positions 29 to 426 of the family's 1533-position model. The record is from RNAcentral.